Molecule: ribosomal RNA, 253 nt
Filed under: uncultured Oscillospiraceae bacterium
Lineage: Bacteria; Bacillati; Bacillota; Clostridia; Eubacteriales; Oscillospiraceae
Description: partial 16S ribosomal RNA
Rfam family: Bacterial small subunit ribosomal RNA
Source: RNAcentral
UACGUAGGGAGCAAGCGUUAUCCGGAUUUACUGGGUGUAAAGGGCGUGUAGGCGGGCCUGCAAGUCAGAAGUGAAAUCUGGGGGCUUAACCCCCAAACUGCUUUUGAAACUGCGGGUCUUGAGUGAUGGAGAGGCAGGCGGAAUUCCCAGUGUAGCGGUGAAAUGCGUAGAUAUCAGGAGGAACACCGGCGGCGAAGGCGGCCUGCUGGACUGAAACUGACGUUGAGGCUCGAAAGCGUGGGGAGCAAACAGG